GGGUUGUGAGGUUAAGCGACUAAGCGUACACGGUGGAUGCCCUGGCAGUCAGAGGCGAUGAAGGGCGUGCUAAUCUGCGAUAAGCGCCGGUAAGGUGAUAUGAACCGUUAUAACCGGCGAUACCCGAAUGGGGAAACCCAGUGUGUUUCGACACACUAUCAUUAACUGAAUCCAUAGGUUAAUGAGGCGAACCGGGGGAACUGAAACAUCUAAGUACCCCGAGGAAAAGAAAUCAACCGAGAUUCCCCCAGUAGCGGCGAGCGAACGGGGAGGAGCCCAGAGCCUGAAUCAGCAUGUGUGUUAGUGGAAGCGUCUGGAAAGGCGCGCGAUACAGGGUGACAGCCCCGUACACAAAAGCGCAUGUGCUGUGAGCUCGAUGAGUAGGGCGGGACACGUGGUAUCCUGUCUGAAUAUGGGGGGACCAUCCUCCAAGGCUAAAUACUCCUGACUGACCGAUAGUGAACCAGUACCGUGAGGGAAAGGCGAAAAGAACCCCGGCGAGGGGAGUGAAAAAGAACCUGAAACCGU
This 528-nucleotide ribosomal RNA is filed under the name Salmonella enterica. Its description in RNAcentral is "partial 23S ribosomal RNA". It matches the Rfam family "Bacterial large subunit ribosomal RNA", at positions 1 to 559 of the family's 2925-position model. RNAcentral also lists the same sequence under 5 other names. Lineage: Bacteria; Pseudomonadati; Pseudomonadota; Gammaproteobacteria; Enterobacterales; Enterobacteriaceae. The record is from RNAcentral.